CCUACGGGUGGCAGCAGUGGGGAAUAUUGGACAAUGGGCGAAAGCCUGAUCCAGCCAUGCCGCGUGUGUGAAGAAGGCCUUCGGGUUGUAAAGCACUUUCAGUGGGGAAGAAAGCCUUGGGGCUAAUACCCUCGAGGAAGGACAUCACCCACAGAAGAAGCACCGGCUAACUCCGUGCCAGCAGCCGCGGUAAUACGGAGGGUGCGAGCGUUAAUCGGAAUUACUGGGCGUAAAGCGCGCGUAGGCGGUCUGAUAAGCCAGUUGUGAAAGCCCCGGGCUCAACCUGGGAACGGCAUCCGGAACUGUCAGGCUAGAGUGCAGGAGAGGAAGGUAGAAUUCCCGGUGUAGCGGUGAAAUGCGUAGAGAUCGGGAGGAAUACCAGUGGCGAAGGCGGCCUUCUGGACUGACACUGACGCUGAGGUGCGAAAGCGUGGGUAGCAAACAGGAUUAGAUACCCUAGUAGUC
RNAcentral lists this ribosomal RNA (465 nucleotides) under Vreelandella stevensii. Its description in RNAcentral is "partial 16S ribosomal RNA". It matches the Rfam family "Bacterial small subunit ribosomal RNA", at positions 338 to 795 of the family's 1533-position model. The record is from RNAcentral. Lineage: Bacteria; Pseudomonadati; Pseudomonadota; Gammaproteobacteria; Oceanospirillales; Halomonadaceae.